Molecule: non-coding RNA, 71 nt
Organism: Ictidomys tridecemlineatus (thirteen-lined ground squirrel)
Lineage: Eukaryota; Metazoa; Chordata; Mammalia; Rodentia; Sciuridae
Source: Rfam
GGGGUUGUGGCUCAGAGGUAGAGCACUUGCCUAGCAGUCAUGAGGCACUGAGUUUGAUCCUCAGCACCUCA